GAUGAACGCUGGCGGCGUGCCUAAUACAUGCAAGUCGAGCGGUAAGGCCUCUUCGGAGGUACACGAGCGGCGGACGGCUGAGUAACACGUAGGAACAUACCCCAAAGUGAGGGAUAACUGCUCGAAAGAGUAGCUGAUACCGCAUGUGGUCUUCGGAUUAAAGCUUCGGCGCUUUGGGAAUGGCCUGCGUCUGAUUAGCUAGAUGGUGAGGUAAUGGCUCACCAUGGCGACGAUCAGUAGCUGGUCUGAGAGGAUGAUCAGCCAGACUGGGACUGAGACACGGCCCAGACUCCUACGGGAGGCAGCAGUAGGGAAUUUUCCACAAUGGGCGAAAGCCUGAUGGAGCAACGCCGCGUGCAGGAUGAAUGCCUUCGGGUUGUAAACUGCUUUUAUAUGUGACGAAUAUGACGGUAGCAUAUGAAUAAGGAUCGGCUAACUCCGUGCCAGCCGCCGCCGUAA
This 459-nucleotide ribosomal RNA is filed under the name uncultured bacterium. RNAcentral describes it as "partial 16S ribosomal RNA". It matches the Rfam family "Bacterial small subunit ribosomal RNA", at positions 28 to 523 of the family's 1533-position model. The record is from RNAcentral.